CAUGAUUCCAGUCAACAUGGGCGACUGAUCGCGACGGUCGCUCUGCUCCGUAGCUGUACGCGAGGAGAUUGAAAGAAAGGGAAAGAAGGCAUCACCACCACCACCACCACCAGCAUCGCGUACCGGCGGCUCAGCGGUAAAGCAUCAGCAGUUGUUCGUUUACAAGAUGGCAGACGGGCCGUCCGGUGAAGAGGCGCCGAGCGAGUUCGGCACUGUAAAUCGCGUGCCCAAAGAAAGACACAAGUGUAAUAAUAACGAUGUAGUGAUAAACAUUGAUAAGGAAGGUGUUCGGGUUACGGAAAGUGAUAAUAUUACCUCGUGGGCGAGUGUCGACGAGAAAAAGAAACGUGAUGUUUAUGUUGGUGAUGAUGAUGAUGACGAUGACGAUGACGACGACUACGAUGAUGACGAAUACGACGACGACGACGACUACGACGAUCGUGAUGCUGGUGAUGACGAGGAAGACGACGACGUCGACGAUGACGAUGAAGUUAGCAGAGGUGGCAGUAUAAGCAGUGGUUGUGUCCAUGAUGAUGUGCCCCUUCGUUCUUCGGCAACGACCAUGGUUGUUCACAAGAAACCGCCAACGAAAGAGACUCUCGUAGUUCUCUUGCACCCUAUGAGUGUUGUUGGGAAAAAAACUGUUGGCUCGGUCGAUGAUAGAACGGCGUUGCUUGGGGAGAUUAACGGCGACGCGAUUCGCGGUGUUAUCAUCCCCGAACCGAAGAGGGGAGCGGCGGUUAAAAGUAUCGACAAAGUGCCAACGGGGGUUGGCAACACCACCUUCAAAGGACAAAUUAGAACAGCGGACGAUACCCUCGUUGGACCCUGCGGGAAGAAACGAUGCGUCGAUCGAUACGAUAGCUCGGAAAGCUCCGACAGCGGAGUGGUCGUCUCCUGCGGCGAAUGCAGCAGCAGCGGGACCAGCGACAUAACCGAGCCCGGAUCACCCUGUAGUACGAGCAGCGACGAAGGUCUCGCCAGUAUUCGAUCGAGUGGCCCAAGCCCCCUGCACAAGCUGGCGCCCCCUACGUCAACCCCCUCGCGGGGCCCUCAAUGGCCCUGGACGCCACCCCUCGCCGCCACCGCUUGUUCUACCUUGAAGAAGAUUAAGGGCGAACCGGAAGCUGGGACCCUGCCCAAGGCCGGGGCUGCCGACCCGACUAACCGAGGAAAGGGUCAGCACCGCCAUCACGAAGGGCCGAAUGGCCGAAUAAAUUGCACACAGGGAAAGAUCACCGAGUAUUUCAAGACCCAGAUCAAGCCGCAGCAAGUCAAGGUGAAGAAGUCAUUAGAAAUGUCGACGCUGGUCGCCAAGAGUUCGCCAGAAUUUCGCCGACCUCCGACAGUUCAGAGAAACAAAGGUGGACUGGCCAAGUAUUUGGGGACAACGCCUCCGAACGGAAGGCCGAACGACUGGGAGGUUCGCACGCUGACGAUGUCGCCGCCACCGUUGAAAAAGUUGCCCGUUAUCGCGCCACGUGCUCAUAAUAAAAUUGAAAAACUACCAAACCCCGUUCCUAGUCUACCUAUUUCCACCAACAUUCUAAACUCCCUUCCGACUGUAAAGCUCUCAUCCAUGCGUCUGCCGUCCAACAUCAGUCCCGAUCCAAAAAUUAUGUCCUCACCGCCUACGACCCCGACCCCCACCCCCACCCCCACCCCCACUCCCACCCCAACUCUAAAUUCGAACCCGAACCCGAACCCGACCUCCUCGCCGACGACGGAGGCCAUAGAUGACGUCGGUUUUCGAGACGACGCGUUCGCCAAGCCGACCGUAAACGAGAACAACAAUUUGACGUCGACGAUUAUUGCAACCAGAUCACAGAACGAACAUCUCUCGCGGCCGCCCCCCACCGGUCCCCGUACCCCGCAGGACGACGAGGUAGCCCACGUUGACAACAAACCGAAGGAACCUCUGUCGCCUAUACUUUCUGCACCGACCACCAUCCGAUUUCCAGCUCAAGCACCGGGAAAGAACAGACCCCAGACAACAGACAGCGGUAUCUGCAAUUGGGACCAAUGCGACGCCAGAUUUGAGUCGAGCAGUGGUCUACUUGAGCAUUUGCAGGUUUCUCACAUCAAUACUCAAACUGGUGGUGACAAUUUCAUUUGUCACUGGCAGGGCUGUAAAGUACAAGGGAGAACUUCCUGCUCUCGUCGGUGGUUGGAGAGACAUGUUCUUUCACAUGGUGGAAAUAAACCGUUCAGGUGCAUCGUUGACGGAUGUGGUAGCAGAUUCAGUUCACAGAUUACAUUAGAAAGACACGUCAAUGGUCACUUCAAUCAACCAGAAACUAGCAGCAGUAGCAGUAGAAAAAGUUGCGAGAAUGGUGGAAAAUUGGUCAGAAGAAACGGUAAACGUUUGAGAUAUAGACGACAACCUUGGUCUGCAAGGUUGUUCGACUUCAUCGACACAGGUGUUAUGGAAGGUUUGCAUCAUCGACUUCUGGAACUUGCACGAACUCGCACACAAGGCCAUUUAGCAGAAACUCCCGGAAACUCGAUGGUCUUAACAAGUCAGGUUCUAGCUCGAAGAGUAGAGCAGGAUGGCAAGACCAAGGUGUUAUUGCGAUGGUAUCCACACGACAUAGUUCCAGACGAGUGGGUCCUUGAAUCUGAAGUGCAAGACAUGAAAUGCAUUAGAAUAUCCAACGCUGCAGCGACAUCGCCGGAUGAAGUAAACCUAGCGUUGUAUCCGGCAAUGAAUAGCGGAACGCUCCCUCAGUCUCGAACGAAACAACGCCGGAAACCAGUUAAAAACUCGUGAUACCAAUAAAUUUAUUUGACGGUAAAUAAAUGAAGAAGAGUUAUCUCCAAGAUCGCGAGAAACAUUGAAGCAGCAGUCCCGACAGGAUGUCGUGGAAGGUGCUGGUGAUCAUAGUCGCGCGGUACAAACGGACAAAAUACGCGCUCCGAGUUGAACAAUGAGGUAUAAGAGGCUUGCUAUGCUCGAAAAGUGCACCAACUGUUGAGAAUUAAAUUCCGAUACCGUUGAUCGGAAGGGUAGUCGCACGAAUAAUAUCUUCAAGCAUAUAGCGUGGUGCGACAUAAAGUCUCCUUGAUAUCGCACGAGGACUUGCAUUCGAAAACUUAUUCUACAAGUUUAGUAAAGUUGACUAAAAUCUAUGUCUUUGGAGACAAGGAGGAGAAGGAGGAGAAGGAGGAGGAGGAGGAGGAGGAGGAGAAGGAGGAGGAGGAGGAGG
Molecule: unclassified non-coding RNA, 3206 nt
Filed under: Neodiprion pinetum (white pine sawfly)
Lineage: Eukaryota; Metazoa; Arthropoda; Insecta; Hymenoptera; Diprionidae
Description: uncharacterized LOC124215903, transcript variant X4
Source: RNAcentral